RNAcentral lists this ribosomal RNA (383 nucleotides) under uncultured eukaryote. RNAcentral's name for it is "SSU rRNA". It matches the Rfam family "Eukaryotic small subunit ribosomal RNA", at positions 587 to 972 of the family's 1831-position model. The record is from RNAcentral.
AGCUCCAAGAGCGUAUAUAAAAGUUGCUGCAGUUAAAAAGCUCGUAGUUGGAUGUAGACGGUCGCUCGCGAGGCGGUCCCGGUUUUCCGGAGCACCCCUUCGGCGUCCUCUGGCUGGCGAGCGUCGCGGCUGGGCUUCACCGCUCGGCCGCGGGCCUCGCCGUGGUUACUUUGAGUAAAUUGGAGUGUUCAAAGCAGGCGUUCGCCGUGGACACGUUAGCAUGGAAUAACGGCACAGGACUCUGGCCUGUCCCGUUGGUCUGCAGGACCGGAGUAAUGAUGAAGAGGAACAGUCGGGGGCAUUCGUAUUUCGUUGUCAGAGGUGAAAUUCUUGGAUUUACGAAAGACGAACCACUGCGAAAGCAUUUGCCAAGGAUGUUUUCG